Long non-coding RNA from Carassius auratus (goldfish), 1441 nucleotides. RefSeq lists it as uncharacterized. The record is from RefSeq and is a predicted model, not a curated record. NCBI's taxonomy places the organism in Eukaryota, Metazoa, Chordata, Actinopteri, Cypriniformes, Cyprinidae. The transcript is spliced from 3 exons.
UCCUCCUUCUCUCCACUCUCAGAGAUGGAUGUCUCCAAACUCUUCCUGUUCAAUCAUCCUACUACUUGUCCACUUGAUCCAAUCCCCACUCACCUCCUUCAAGUGAUCUCUUCUUCAGUCAUACCUGCGCUUACUCACGUUAUCAACUCCCUUUUCACUCUGGAACAUUUCCCUCAGCAUUCAAGCAGGCUCGGGUAAGCCCACUGCUGAAGAAACCAUCUCUAAAUCCAAUGCUUCUUGAAAACUACAGACCAGUAUCACUUCUUCCAUUCAUUGCAAAGACACUUCAACCAGCUUUCUAUGUUCCUUGUACAUGUGGCAGGAUGGCUAGAUCCUCUUAUAUUGGUUGUUAGGAUUGUUGGCCUAUCAGUAGUUAUGGGUUAGCAUAUAAAAGGUGGAGCUGUGUCACAAGGAUGUGUUACUCUUAGGUGCCCUGCCCCUUUCUGGUACCAGUGUUUACACUGUUGUUAGCAGUGUGGCUAUCUUGGUCACGGCUAACUUAGGGUUCUUUUUGUGCAUCUAUCCAAAAGCAGCAUGAAGUCAAUUGGUUAAUGUUGCGACCUGUGUUUGGUCAGACUGCUUACUCUGCAGUUUGUUUCUGCCCACUCCUGUCUCCCACACCAUCGUGUACAUUGUUUAUGGUUCUGCUUUUGUGUGACAUAUGGCUGCAUUUUUCCAGUUUCUAUCAACAACUUCUGGUUCAGAUUCGGUUCAGUGCUCGUGCUGGCCCUGUCCAUUUAACGUGGCUGAGGUGCUCGUGCGUUGGAGGGUUCCUGCUGUAGUGCAGGACUCUGAACAUCAGUAUUAAGAGGUGUUGCUGUCUUGUUCCCAGUUUGUUUGUUUGUGCAUUUGUUUCCUUUUUUGUAUUUCCUUUCUUGGAUGGCUCAUAUUGUCCUCUAUGUACUCAAUGUGGAAGGCCAGAUGCUUUUAAUUAUUUAAAUUUAUUAUUUGAUUGUUAAUUUAUUUUGAGCCCAGUGUGUAUUUCAUUUUUUAUUAUUAUUUUUUUUUUUUAGUUUGUUAAUAUCUUUAUUCUCUUGUGAACGUUUUGUUUGGAAUUGUAAACUGUCUUCCUUUUUUGUUUUUGUUUUUUAUCGGGUUUGUUCAUUUAUAGGUGCUGUGGGUCAAACCCCAAAAGGGCAGGGAGGCAGAUUUCCACACACGUGCGGUGGUGGUGCUAUCUUGUCACCGUGUGCAGUGUUGUGGCAUGUCGAUCACCAACCAAAAUCUCACUUGGUAUAGAGUGUGUGUGAAUGGGUGCACCGAUAGUGUGUGAUAAUUGCAUUUUGUGAUUCUUUAGGAGUUGAUUCCAGCUGAAAACAGCCCUGUAAAUCUUUACACUUUUUGUGUUAUCAGCAACAAGUAACCAAGCAUUAAGUGUGCCAGCGCUCAUGUGAUUUCACUUUUUUUUGUAAUUUAUUAUUUGGAUUAAUAAAGCUUUGUA